CGAGCUCCAACCAUUUCGGCCUGUUGGUUGAGCUUGGACACGGGCCAAUGCUAGGUCGAGGCACGGACGGGGACUCUUCUGCAGGUGGGUUGCGAGCUUUGUUGGGGGUGGGCUCACACCAACCCAAGCAUGCCCGACCCUAAGACUUUGAUGUGGGUCAGGCACCUAUUGGCCCAAUUUGCAAGAAUUGGGUCUCGAGGGGCCCAGAAAAGGCUCUUCGAGGAAGAACAAGGCCAAAGAUAAAGCCUUGGCCUCCUUAAAGGCCC
This 266-nucleotide long non-coding RNA is filed under the name Elaeis guineensis (African oil palm). RNAcentral describes it as "long non-coding RNA (EGUI_LNC009998)". The record is from RNAcentral. Lineage: Eukaryota; Viridiplantae; Streptophyta; Magnoliopsida; Arecales; Arecaceae.